AAAGAUGACGCUCAUGUGUGAUAAAUUUGGAGUGUUGAUGUUGUAUUUUGUGUUGGUUGACAGUCGUGUGAGUAUAUCCAAUAUUUCAAGUUGUCCUAAAAAAAGGAAGGGGAGACCGAUACCAAUAUACAUACUUCCUGGUGAAUGGGUUAUGUUUAAUUGCAGUGUAAAUCACAACGAUUUAAAUGCUCAAAUUCUGAACAGCAAACGAGAAAUUUUACAUGUUGACAACAACCAAAUAAAAAUUUUAAGCAAAAA
Long non-coding RNA from Xenia sp. Carnegie-2017, 258 nucleotides. RefSeq lists it as uncharacterized. The transcript is spliced from 2 exons. The record is from RefSeq and is a predicted model, not a curated record. Lineage: Eukaryota; Metazoa; Cnidaria; Anthozoa; Malacalcyonacea; Xeniidae.